RNAcentral lists this ribosomal RNA (801 nucleotides) under uncultured bacterium. Its description in RNAcentral is "bacterial SSU rRNA". It matches the Rfam family "Bacterial small subunit ribosomal RNA", at positions 69 to 860 of the family's 1533-position model. The record is from RNAcentral.
GUAACGCGGAGAGCUUGCUCUCCGGCGACGAGUGGCGGACGGGUGAGUAAUACUUAGGAAUCUGCCCAGUAGUGGGGGACAACUCGGGGAAACUCGAGCUAAUACCGCAUACGCCCUACGGGGGAAAGCGGGGGAUCUUCGGACCUCGCGCUAUUGGAUGAGCCUAAGUCGGAUUAGCUUGUUGGUGAGGUAAUAGCUCACCAAGGCGACGAUCCGUAGCUGGUCUGAGAGGACGAUCAGCCACACUGGGACUGAGACACGGCCCAGACUCCUACGGGAGGCAGCAGUGGGGAAUAUUGGACAAUGGGCGCAAGCCUGAUCCAGCAAUGCCGCGUGUGUGAAGAAGGCCUGCGGGUUGUAAAGCACUUUCAGUAGAGAAGAAAAGCCUAGGGUUAAUAGCCCUGAGUCUUGACGUAACCUACAGAAGAAGCACCGGCUAACUCCGUGCCAGCAGCCGCGGUAAUACGAAGGGGGCAAGCGUUGUUCGGAAUUAUUGGGCGUAAAGCGUAUGUAGGAGGUCUAUCAAGUCAGACGUGCAAGCCCUCGGCUCAACCGAGGAAUUGCGUUUGAAACUGAUAGACUUGAGUGUAGGAGAGGAAAGCGGAAUUCCCAGUGUAGCGGUGAAAUGCGUUGAUAUUGGGAAGAACACCGGUGGCGAAGGCGGCUUUCUGGCCUGCUACUGACACUGAGAUACGAAAGCCAGGGGAGCAAAGGGGAUUAGAUACCCCCGUAGUCCUGGCUGUAAACGAUGGGCACUAUGUGCGGGAGGUAUUGAUCCCUUCUGUGCCGCAGCUAACGCAU